CAAUAGCGUAUAUUCAAGUUGCUGCAGUUAAAAAGCUCGUAGUUGGAUUUCGGGUGGGAAUGGCCGGUCCGCCGUUUCGGUGUGCACUUGCUACGCCCACCUUGCUGCCGGGGACGUGCUCUUGAGUUCACGCUCGGGACACGGAGUCGGCGAGGUUACUUUGAGUAAAUUAGAGUGUUCAAAGCAGGCCUACGCUCUGAAUACAUUAGCAUGGAAUAACACGAUAGGACUCUGGCCUAUCUUGUUGGUCUGUAGGACCGGAGUAAUGAUUAAGAGGGACAGUCGGGGGCAUUCGUAUUUCAUUGUCAGAGGUGAAAUUCUUGGAUUUAUGAAAGACGAACUACUGCGAAAGCAUUUGCCAAGGAUGUUUUCAUUAA
This 377-nucleotide ribosomal RNA is filed under the name uncultured eukaryote. Its description in RNAcentral is "partial 18S ribosomal RNA". It matches the Rfam family "Eukaryotic small subunit ribosomal RNA", at positions 592 to 976 of the family's 1831-position model. The record is from RNAcentral.